UCCAAGUCCUUUGUUUUUCUUUAACUUGAUAUACAAGAGCUGCGCAGUGGUCUGGAAGGGCCGCAAGCAGCUACCUCGGCCUUGUCAUUCGUGGGACUCGGUGGCUUUCAAGCACUAUGGCUUCCAGGGUAUUCCAGUCACUUUUCAGGAUAUUCAUACUAGACAAAUAAGAUUGAAGAACUUGAAAUGGGGACCAGUAUUUAAAAAGAAGUUGCAAGUCGUCCUGACUUUUGUCUUGCUACUGGACUCCAUGACUCCAGAAGAGAGAGUGAGGCUGAAGACUUUGUGCUGCUUGUCUCACUUAAAUCCAGUUCGCUCAAGAUUCGAGUUAUAAUCCCCUGAUGUCAUUGGUCCUCUUCACAAAGGAAGGAGGAACCUGCUUCUGACUGUACUUUCACAUCUCCUCAUGAGCGGUCUUCUCAACCUAGAAGUGCCUCUAUCCCUGCUGCCUUCUCCUCUGAAGGGAGUAAGGUGAAGUAAAGCUACAAAGAGGGUACCUUGUGCACACUACUUCUGGAGGAAAUCAUGCAGCUCUAAUUCCAUGGAGUUUCAGUUGACUUCUUACAAGCCAUUUAAUAAUGUGUACAAACUCCCACAACCUGACUGGAAUUUUAAUUUCGUUCUCAACAUCCCCAACAUAUGGAUGUUGUGACUAUUCGAACUCAGUGGCGAUUUGUUUGCCCAAGUAGAACGUGCUUGUGCAAGAGACAGUUGGCAAGGGCAGACAUUUUAGAAGAGAAGUUAGACAGGGAGAAAGAACGGUAGUGGUCAGGUGUAAGCCAUCACAUCGUAUUCAUCCUCCUUCUGUCAUUUGCCUUUGGAAGGACUUGAAUAUCUUUCAGCACUAUUUCCUUUUGAAGACACCCAGCAGAGUGUUCAAGUGCUAAAAGGACAUGAAUGGAUCAAUUCCUAGACUUGAUUUCAAGUGAGGGAGAAGAUUGUUAACAGAGCCAAGUCACCUUGUGGUUCCUGCAUUCGUCAGCACAGUUUGUAUGAGCUAAACUUCUGGGAAGUAAAUUCCUUUUGCACAACUCCCAGCUAGGAGCCACUAAGAACUGAACUUGUAGGUUUUUGCUUUCAGAGUUCUGGGGAGUUUGGAAUGUGGACCAAAGCAAGUUAUUAUCUGGGAAGUAUGCAGUGGGUGCCUUGAUAUUAAUAUGUUUUGCUUUCCUUUAUUAUUUUGAUUAAGUACUUUAUAAAGUAAUUGCACCAAUAAUGGCAAUUUAGUGAGUAACACCUCAAAGGAAAGAAUGUGAAAUGGCUCAAUAGUUGGGAGACAGUGUGAAUCAAGUUGUUUUACUAAUGGUGCCAUAAACCUUUAGAAUAAUUAGAAUGUAAACUCUAAAGGCAGAAAUUGUUUUAUUUCUGUCUUUGUAUUCCUAGUGAUUAAUAGAGUUCCUGGCACAAAGUAAACAUGCAAUGCAAGCUGGUUUAUAUAUUUGUGGAUGUCAGAAUCUGGCACCAGUCACCUAAUUGCCAUUUUAGAUUAAGCCCUCAUCUCAUCUUCCUUAGAAUAACUUAAUCUUAAUUUUUCCAUGUUUCCAGUCUUUCCUCUUUCCAAUCUGUUAUCCAUGUAGCUGCCAAAAUAAUCUCGUAUGGCACAGUUCUUCUAUCUGGGAUGAAGGAGUUUCCACAAUGUGCAACAGAAAAGGAGAGCAGCAGAAGAGAAAAGACUCAUUCUAGUGUAGAAUUAAACUAGAUGGGGGGCUAGGGUAUAUUAAAAGGUGGCAGGGGGCAGCUCUGAAUCACAGGGAUUAAGGGGCAGAAGGUACACCUGUUAUUUUAAGACUUAGGUAAAUGCCAAUUGAGAAUCCUAGUGCUGGUUCUGAUAUUGGUGCUGUUACUCUCCAAACCCUGGGAAAGUUGGGGAGAGGAUGAUAGAGGUGGAAGGAGUUUGGACCAGGACUGAAGUCAGUAAAGAGCCUGGAGAUUGUUUUCAAAGGUAGGCAAAAAUCCAAUUCCUUUUGAAUUUUCAGCCCAAGAUAAGCAGAAGUUUUUAAAUACCCAGAACUUUUUCACACAUGGGGCAUAAACUUUGCCCUGCAUUGGGCCAUGGACUUUUCAAAAUUCAGUAUGGUAUCUGAGUUUUGAGGUUCAGGUUGAGUCUACAUUAGGCGUUGUCCACGCGAGGCUUAGCUAUUUCAGUGUGACAGGUGUGGCUGGCACCUGCUAGAAUUGGAUGACAUGAAUAGUGGUAAUGAUCUAUCCAGCCCUUUCUCAUUCUCCUGUUUUCUUUUAUAGACUACAGUGGGCUGCCAUAUAAUUGAUUUGUCAAUAAUUUCACCAGCUAAGGGGGUGUAGUAUGCUGUGUGGCUGUAAGUGGUAUUCUAGCCAUUUGAGCAUUCUCUUUCCCCUAAUUUACCACUGUCUUCUCUCCCUAUCCUGGUAACUAGAAGUCUAAUACUGUGAUCUAGAACAGAGAUGACAAACUUUGCAGAGUGGUCUGAACCAGAUUAAAAUGUAAUUGUGAAAUAUUUAACAAAAUAAAUGAAAAUACA
This is a long non-coding RNA of Phascolarctos cinereus (koala), 2498 nucleotides long. RefSeq lists it as uncharacterized. The record is from RefSeq and is a predicted model, not a curated record. Lineage: Eukaryota; Metazoa; Chordata; Mammalia; Diprotodontia; Phascolarctidae.